RNAcentral lists this long non-coding RNA (701 nucleotides) under Homo sapiens (human). RNAcentral's name for it is "HSALNT0399213". Lineage: Eukaryota; Metazoa; Chordata; Mammalia; Primates; Hominidae. The record is from RNAcentral.
CGGCCCCCGGUCGGGCACUGCAGGCGGCGAAACGACUUGGGAAGGCCCUUUCGGGACGGAGUCUUGCUCUGUCACCCAAGCUGGAGUACAGUGGUACAAUCUCGGCUCACUGCAACCUCCGCCUCCUGGGUUCAAGCGAUUCUCCUGCCUCAGCCUCCCAAGUAGCUGGGAUUACAGAAGCGCACCACCACACCUGAUCACUUGCUCUGGGGGAAACCAGCAGCCAUGUUGUGAGGACACCCAAGCAGCUCUAUGGAGAGGCCUACAUGGAGAGUAACCAAGGUCCCCUAUCAAUAGCCAGCAAGGAACAGAAGCCUCCUGCCAACAGUCACGUAGCACGCAUACUUUCCCCAAGAUAGAAGCCCUGGGCCUGGGGGAUUGAGGUGUGGAGAUCUACCUGUCUCACGGCUGCUUGUGACCAUGCAUCUGACUACAAGAUUAUGAAGCUUUCCUGGCUGCCGAGGAGCUCAGCAGACUUGUUUAAAACUGAGACUGGUGACUGAACGAAAAAAAAUGUGACAGAAACCUGUACUGGGGCCCUUACCUGGGCCAGGCCAGGAUGAGGGAUACAUAGGUCAACAUCCUACGGAGCCUUUCACCAGGAGCUCAGGUAAGAGAGCAGAGACCGUCAUUAAGCUUCCAAAGAAAUGAAAUGCCCAAGAAUGCAUCUGGCUAUAAGUAUCAAAGAAGAUAGUUGAAAU